Triticum dicoccoides is the source of this 264-nucleotide long non-coding RNA. RefSeq lists it as uncharacterized. NCBI's taxonomy places the organism in Eukaryota, Viridiplantae, Streptophyta, Magnoliopsida, Poales, Poaceae. The record is from RefSeq and is a predicted model, not a curated record. The transcript has 3 exons.
CUUACUGGAUGCCAUUUGUUCUUUCAGAUUUUCGUGCUGGACAACAUUGACCUUGGGAUAUUCAACAUGGAGCACUCUGUAUUUCCGCGUGUGCAGUGUUUUCAACAGAAAAAACUUAACCAGAUGAUCAUCAUGGCUCGGUGCACGCAGCGGGGCAUGAUAACCUAUGUCCCAGGAGCUUUGCGUCCUCCAGAUUCGGUUUGCUAUAUUCGGGUCAUUGCGUCGAGCCCAGUGUACAGAGACAGUAGAUUAAUGGAGUCCUCA